RNAcentral lists this long non-coding RNA (1983 nucleotides) under Calidris pugnax (ruff). RNAcentral's name for it is "lncRNA (ENSCPUG00000012226.1)". Lineage: Eukaryota; Metazoa; Chordata; Aves; Charadriiformes; Scolopacidae. The record is from RNAcentral.
CAUUAUCCAUCUGGAUCUACACAAUUCGGUGUGAGAUUCCUCAAGGACAGCCACCAACUCUGGCAUGCCAGGGGAACAGCUGCAUUUAAGCAAUCCAGUUUGGAAUUCAGUCCCCCCAGGAGUCUUCACUUUCAGUUUAUUUUACAUGAAAAGUGCUCCAUGGAGGUAGUCGGUCUUCUAAAGACCCAAGUAGACACCAUUACAAAGGUUUCAGAACAGUAUGCAAUGUUCCAGUAUCUGCACUAUAAACAAAAUAAUUUUGCUGAUUCUUCACACUACUUCUAUGUAUGGACUUACAAUUUUUUUACAAGCAUGGAUUAUAAUAAGUAUUCCUUAAUACUUAUCUGUAUUUCCAAAGUGAUGAAUGAAACCUUUCUCAAGUCUUUGAGGUUACUGCCCUGAAGUCCAAAAUUUGGAAUAGUAGCAAUUUUGUUACAUAACAUUAACAGUAGUUCUGAAUGAACUGAAUGAAAUUAAUUUUCCAAAUUUUUUGCUUCUUGGAAGUGAUUAAAAGGUCUGGACUCAAAGCUUUUGACAAACUAUCAAAUAUUAGAUAUCAGAAUCAUAGAAUCACAUAGAAUGGUUAGAGUUGGAAGGGACCUUAAAGAUCACUGAAUUCCAACCCCCCUGGCAGGGGGCAGGGACACCUCCCACUAGACCAGGUUGCUCAAAGCCUCAUCCAGCCUGGCCUUGAACACUUCCAGGGAUGGGGCAUCCACAACUUCCCUGGACAACCUGUUCCAGUGUCUCACCACCCUCACAGGAAAGAAUUUCUUCCUGAUAUCUAAUCUAAAUCUACCCUCUUUCAAUUUAAAAAUCUUACCCCUCGUCCUAUCACUAUACUCACCGAUGAAGAGUCCCUCCCCAGCUUUCCUGUAGGACCCCUUUAGGUACUGGAAGGCCACUGUAAGGUCUCCCUGGAGUGUUCUCCAGGAGAAACAACCCCAACUCUCUCAGUCUGUCUUCAUAGGAGAGGUGCUCCAGCCUCUUUAAAGGUCAUUUAGUCCAACCCCCCUGACCAUUUUUGUGGCCCUCCAUUGGACCCAUCCCAACAGGUCCAUAUCUUUCCUGUGUUAGGGGUUCCAGAGCUGGACGUGGUACUCCAGGUGGGGUCUUACCAGAGUGGAGAGGCAGGAUCACCUCCCUGGACCUGCUGACCAAGUUUCUUUGGAUGCAUCCCAGGAUGCGGUUGGCUUUCUGGGCUGCCAGCACGCAUUGCUGACUCAUGUUGAUCUUCCCAUCACCCAACACCCCCAAGUUCUUUUGCUCAGGGCUGCUCUCAACCUAUUCUCCACCCAGCCUUUAUUUGUGUAUUUAUGGCCCACAGUUCUGCUCUAAGUAACCCAAGGUGAUGCUCAAGUCCAUUCUGUACCAGUUUCCUAAUUUUCUCUUAGAAAAGGCAGGAUGUUCCCUGUUCAAAAGGACAGCUCGCUCUCCUGUGUAUCCGCUUUGUCCUGAAAAGGAACACUAAAUCAUAACUAGAUGUGAACUCUACAGUGGUACAUAGCUUUUUUUUUUUUUUCCCGAUAAGAAGGCCAGGGCUUCCUUUAGCGAACAUUAUCUUGUGCCAAUUCACAUAUGUAGAUGAAACAGGACUUCUUGUAGGUGUUGAUGAAAUUCAUCCUGUUGCAAAUUAGACCAUAUGGCACAUGAAAGCUCCCUCUAAUCCAAUUUGUAAAUUACACAAUGAAGGGGACUGAACCAAUUUAGGAUAUCCUUUCAUCCUGCCUCUCUCCUUCCCCACAACUGUGCAGUCACUAGACAUAUGCUCAAUUUUACUAAAUUGAGCACACCCAUAAAGGGGUCUGCUUUUCUAUUUGUAAAGUUCAGCCUCUGCAAAAGCAUUUCAAGGAUUGGAGCUAAUUUGGCUGGCAACUUCACUCUGAUUUUCAAUGUAUUUAUUAUCUACUAUGCUGGAAAUAUAAAGAUUUUUAGAAAUGGUGUAAUCCUCAGUUAAUAAAUGCUGGUGGUAUAGCUUUGUCA